UUCAACGGCCGCGGUAUCCUGACCGUGCGAAGGUAGCACAAUAAUGAGCCUCCUAAUUAGAGGAUAGAAUGAAUGAAUCAACGAAAAAGAUACUGUCUCAUAGACAACAAUUGAAAUUUAUAUGUAGGUGAAAAAGCCUACAUAACAAUUAAAGACAAGAAGACCCUAUAAGCUUUUUAAAGAAUUAAUAACCCAAAUUAAAUUUUUAUUUAGUUGGGGCGACUAAAAGUAAAAAACACUUCAUAUUCCCUA
Molecule: ribosomal RNA, 252 nt
Filed under: Syllis gracilis complex lineage 5 PAC-2017
Lineage: Eukaryota; Metazoa; Annelida; Polychaeta; Phyllodocida; Syllidae
Description: partial 16S ribosomal RNA
Source: RNAcentral